ACACACUUCCGGUGCCCUGCUCAGAGCUGCCUGAGGCCUGUGAACUGCACACUGGAGAUGCCUUCCCAGCGGAAUAGUCUCCUAGUCCCUUUCUCCGUCCACGGGACCAGAUUGUUAAAACAGGGUGUUCUGAAAAUGAACCAUUGGUAUGUCACCUGUCCAGCAAUUUGAGUUCUCUGCAGGGAUCUGGAAACAUGCCAGUUAGGAUGCUUCAGCUGCAAGCGACAGAACGAGUCACUCACACAACCUCAAGAGUACAACCA
Long non-coding RNA from Mesocricetus auratus (golden hamster), 263 nucleotides. RefSeq lists it as uncharacterized. The transcript has 3 exons. NCBI's taxonomy places the organism in Eukaryota, Metazoa, Chordata, Mammalia, Rodentia, Cricetidae. The record is from RefSeq and is a predicted model, not a curated record.